This is a long non-coding RNA of Uranotaenia lowii, 396 nucleotides long. RefSeq lists it as uncharacterized. Lineage: Eukaryota; Metazoa; Arthropoda; Insecta; Diptera; Culicidae. The record is from RefSeq and is a predicted model, not a curated record. The transcript is spliced from 2 exons.
AGCGCUCAGUCAUCAGUCAGUUAUCCAGAGAAAGAUCUGAUCGCGACAGCCACAACAACAUAAACCCAAAAUGUUUUCCUUCACCAAAAGUUCAUUCAUUGUUUUGCUGAUGGCAUACCAUACGAUUUUAUCAGUUUCAGCGCCGCUACCCCAACUGGGCCAGGAGGAAAUUUGUGGCAUCCCGGACCAACCCGUUCGCUGCAGUUGUGUUGGUGAUAAAUGUGAGCCCACAUUUCUGAGAGCAAUUCCGAAACCGUUGGUAGAAACUGUCCAAGAAAAUGCUAGUACUGCACGAAAAACUGGAACGAUGGUUUUGAAUUAAAUUUUUUCCCAUCAAUUUGUAUCUGAAUAUAAUGAAAAGUAAAUGUCCUUUCCAAAUAAUUGAUUACCUCAAAA